GUGUCCUACGGGGGGCAGCAGUGGGGAAUAUUGGUCAAUGGUCGGGAGACUGAACCAGCCAAGCCGCGUGAGGGAUGAAGGUACAGAGUAUCGUAAACCUCUUUUGUCAGGGAACAAAGGCGGGGACGCGUCCCCGGAUGAGUGUACCUGAAGAAAAAGCAUCGGCUAACUCCGUGCCAGCAGCCGCGGUAAUACGGAGGAUGCGAGCGUUAUCCGGAUUUAUUGGGUUUAAAGGGGGCGCAGGCGGGCUGUUAAGUCAGCGGUCAAAGCCCGGGGCCCAACCCCGGCCCGCCGUUGAAACUGGG
RNAcentral lists this ribosomal RNA (305 nucleotides) under uncultured bacterium. RNAcentral describes it as "bacterial SSU rRNA". It matches the Rfam family "Bacterial small subunit ribosomal RNA", at positions 334 to 637 of the family's 1533-position model. The record is from RNAcentral.